GAGGGAGAGAGCUUGCACUCCCAAACCCUUCGUUUCCGCUUUUCUUAGCUUUCCGUUGUCGCUCCUAUCUCCUGCUUCGCUCGCGUUUUCGAAUUAUUCCUCGAAUUCUUCUGUCGUCUCGAUCCGUGCGGCCUCAGAUCCUCUUCUAGUGUUCCGACCUCUCUCGCCCGUCUUUGCUCUCCUCCACGGCGAGCAGGAGCACAGAAAGUGAGAUCGGUGGCGCAGCGAGCGGCCAGUCCGCGGCAGACUUGCGAGAGAAGAAGGGAAAUCGCUUUCUUCGUGUUGCUAUCAUGUAGAAGUUUGAUAAUUGAGUGGGAAUUGAAGGGAUUCGCGAGGAGUUUGAUCCUCAAAUCCCUUGAGAAUGUCCAUUAGCGUUUGCUUCGUUAUCGUGCUCCAAGUGGCUCCGCCCGACCUACUGAGUAAGAAGAAUCCAAUUAACAUCUGGAGUGGUAUAUCUGCUAUAAAACCUGGUUCUCUCAUUUACCAAGAAGCCAAGAAACACAUUGCUGAGAUGCUAGAUACUGGAGAUCAAAGAGCUAGCUUGCCAACAACAGCCCAUGUCUCAGAAUCUUUGGGUAGUCUGCUUUCUACUCCAGAGUACAAUGCAUUAUCUCCAAACGUGAGUCAUGGAAGUGACAAGGAGCUUGUGUUGCCAUACGAAGAGACAGGAUCACUCCCUAUGCAACAGUUCAAUCAAGAUGAUGCAACCAGUUCCUUAAGCUUGUCGAAACAAAGCUUUCAGGUCUCACCUCACUUUGGCAAUCAAACUGAUGUACCGAUGCUUCACUUGAAAGCUGAGAUCAUUGAAAACCAGGUGCAGCAGGGAUUGUGUAUUGGAUCAGAACUUAACCAUGAAGCAAGUGUACAAAAUGUGGAUGCAGUCAGAAUAAGCAAGCCUCCAGUGUGAUGUGUCUUUGGAGCCAAAGAGCAAUAACAAAGAUUUAGUUUCAUUGGAGGUGGAAUCACACACUGCAACUUAUUCUGGAUCACCAGGAUCCCUUAGAGAAAUCUUGGAGACUCAUGAAAGCACUAUUGCUGUGAUCCCAACACUGGAUACAGGAGCUCAAGCUACUUUCAACUAUGUUAAAGCCGUGAUCGAAGCCUCAGGGUUGAGCACUAUUGACUUUUCAGAGAGAUGCCAUUUGGGAGAUGAAUUGCUUGCCCGAUCCUUGUUUGAUGAAGGAGAAAUUUCAAGUUCUCCACAGAUAGAUGAUCCAAAGCUUCUCUUUGAUUGCUGCAUCACUGAAGCCUCUGAACAGAUCUUCAAAUGCCCCCCUUGGGUGUCUUUGAACACAUCCAAUGUUCAGCAGGCUCCGGUAGCACAAUGCUUAAUUCGAGAAGUCAGUAGGGGAAUCGAAAGGCAAAUUCCCAUGCACUUGCCAAACUCAUUAGAUCAGAUAGUAACAAAGGACUUGGGAGAGUGGAAGCUGGUUGGACCUUCAGUUCGAAAUUGAGAACAUCGUCGACAAGAUACGGGACACUCUCCUCGAUGAUUCAGUGGACGAAACUAUAUUCGACAUGUCGCUUGAUCUCUGAGCUGGAUGGUGAUGCUCCUUGUCUUGCUCAUGGUUUGAUAUAUAUGUUCAUUUCUAUGGAUACUUGUAGAAGUCCAUUUCUAUGGACAUGAAAAGGAAGAAUGCACAUGCCUUCUACCUAAUUGUUAAUGCUCUGCUGAGAAUUGGUGGAAAUAAU
Molecule: long non-coding RNA, 1692 nt
Organism: Musa acuminata AAA Group (dessert banana)
Lineage: Eukaryota; Viridiplantae; Streptophyta; Magnoliopsida; Zingiberales; Musaceae
Exons: 4
Source: RefSeq, a predicted model, not a curated record